Molecule: unclassified non-coding RNA, 201 nt
Filed under: uncultured Chytridiomycota
Lineage: Eukaryota; Fungi; Chytridiomycota
Description: sequence contains ITS2
Source: RNAcentral
UUUAAUCAUCAAAUCUAUAAUGUAAAAGUUAUAGCUUUGGACUUGAGACUUCUGGAAACAGAGACUCUAAUAACAUUUGUUGCCUAGUUUCGAUGAGACUAUAUGAAAGGCAUGACCAUUGAACGAAAGUUCUUGUAUUGCUGCUAGUAUCUUUGAAUCGGCUCUGGAAAACAUUAAAUAUCACGAAGCUAACGCUUUAAG